CUGGUAUUGAUUGGUGCUUGCAUCAUGAUUUACAUUUGAGUGAGUGGCGAACUGGUGAGUAACACGUGGGAAACCUGCCCAGAAGCGGGGGAUAACACCUGGAAACAGAUGCUAAUACCGCAUAACAACUUGGACCGCAUGGUCCGAGCUUGAAAGAUGGCUUCGGCUAUCACUUUUGGAUGGUCCCGCGGCGUAUUAGCUAGAUGGUGGGGUAACGGCUCACCAUGGCAAUGAUACGUAGCCGACCUGAGAGGGUAAUCGGCCACAUUGGGACUGAGACACGGCCCAAACUCCUACGGGAGGCAGCAGUAGGGAAUCUUCCACAAUGGACGAAAGUCUGAUGGAGCAACGCCGCGUGAGUGAAGAAGGGUUUCGGCUCGUAAAACUCUGUUGUUAAAGAAGAACAUAUCUGAGAGUAACUGUUCAGGUAUUGACGGUAUUUAACCAGAAAGCCACGGCUAACUACGUGCCAGCAGCCGCGGUAAUACGUAGGUGGCAAGCGUUGUCCGGAUUUAUUGGGCGUAAAGCGAGCGCAGGCGGUUUUUUAAGUCUGAUGUGAAAGCCUUCGGCUCAACCGAAGAAGUGCAUCGGAAACUGGGAAACUUGAGUGCAGAAGAGGACAGUGGAACUCCAUGUGUAGCGGUGAAAUGCGUAGAUAUAUGGAAGAACACCAGUGGCGAAGGCGGCUGUCUGGUCUGUAACUGACGCUGAGGCUCGAAAGUAUGGGUAGCAAACAGGAUUAGAUACCCUGGUAGUCCAUACCGUAAACGAUGAAUGCUAAGUGUUGGAGGGUUUCCGCCCUUCAGUGCUGCAGCUAACGCAUUAAGCAUUCCGCCUGGGGAGUACGGCCGCAAGGCUGAAACUCAAAGGAAUUGACGGGGGCCCGCACAAGCGGUGGAGCAUGUGGUUUAAUUCGAAGCUACGCGAAGAACCUUACCAGGUCUUGACAUACUAUGCAAAUCUAAGAGAUUAGACGUUCCCUUCGGGGACAUGGAUACAGGUGGUGCAUGGUUGUCGUCAGCUCGUGUCGUGAGAUGUU
This 1039-nucleotide ribosomal RNA is filed under the name Lactiplantibacillus plantarum. RNAcentral describes it as "bacterial SSU rRNA". It matches the Rfam family "Bacterial small subunit ribosomal RNA", at positions 67 to 1076 of the family's 1533-position model. The record is from RNAcentral. Lineage: Bacteria; Bacillati; Bacillota; Bacilli; Lactobacillales; Lactobacillaceae.